CGCUUAGGCGUGUGACUGCGUACCUUUUGUAUAAUGGGUCAGCGACUUAUAUUCUGUAGCAAGGUUAACCGAAUAGGGGAGCCGAAGGGAAACCGAGUCUUAACUGGGCGUUAAGUUGCAGGGUAUAGACCCGAAACCCGGUGAUCUAGCCAUGGGCAGGUUGAAGGUUGGGUAACACUAACUGGAGGACCGAACCGACUAAUGUUGAAAAAUUAGCGGAUGACUUGUGGCUGGGGGUGAAAGGCCAAUCAAACCGGGAGAUAGCUGGUUCUCCCCGAAAGCUAUUUAGGUAGCGCCUCGUGAAUUCAUCUCCGGGGGUAGAGCACUGUUUCGGCAAGGGGGUCAUCCCGACUUACCAACCCGAUGCAAACUGCGAAUACCGGAGAAUGUUAUCACGGGAGACACACGGCGGGUGCUAACGUCCGUCGUGAAGAGGGAAACAACCCAGACCGCCAGCUAAGGUCCCAAAGUCAUGGUUAAGUGGGAAACGAUGUGGGAAGGCCCAGACAGCCAGGAUGUUGGCUUAGAAGCAGCCAUCAUUUAAAGAAAGCGUAAUAGCUCACUGGUCGAGUCGGCCUGCGCGGAAGAUGUAACGGGGCUAAACCAUGCACCGAAGCUGCGGCAGCGACGCUUAUGCGUUGUUGGGUAGGGGAGCGUUCUGUAAGCCUGCGAAGGUGUGCUGUGAGGCAUGCUGGAGGUAUCAGAAGUGCGAAUGCUGACAU
Molecule: ribosomal RNA, 722 nt
Filed under: Escherichia coli
Lineage: Bacteria; Pseudomonadati; Pseudomonadota; Gammaproteobacteria; Enterobacterales; Enterobacteriaceae
Description: partial 23S ribosomal RNA
Rfam family: Bacterial large subunit ribosomal RNA
Source: RNAcentral